Armillaria fumosa is the source of this 97-nucleotide non-coding RNA. Lineage: Eukaryota; Fungi; Basidiomycota; Agaricomycetes; Agaricales; Physalacriaceae. The record is from the annotation of a GenBank genome assembly.
UCUCUGGUAGUAUAUCGGUUAGUACACGCGCCUGUCAUAGCUGAAUAUACGCAGUGGUGUUGCGCGCGAAAGCUGGGUUCGACUCCCAGCCAGAGAG